GGGCUACCCGCUGAGUUUAAGCAUAUCAAUAAGCGGAGGA
Molecule: ribosomal RNA, 40 nt
Filed under: Nanocnide japonica
Lineage: Eukaryota; Viridiplantae; Streptophyta; Magnoliopsida; Rosales; Urticaceae
Also listed under: 1 other name
Description: partial 28S rRNA
Source: RNAcentral